Molecule: ribosomal RNA, 292 nt
Filed under: Symbiodinium sp.
Lineage: Eukaryota; Dinophyceae; Suessiales; Symbiodiniaceae
Also listed under: 1 other name
Description: partial small subunit ribosomal RNA
Rfam family: Eukaryotic small subunit ribosomal RNA
Source: RNAcentral
CAUGUCUCAGUAUAAGCAGUCAAAUGGUGAAACUGCGAAUGGCUCAUUAAAGCAGUUAUAGUUUAUUUGAUGGUUGCUGCUACAUGGAUAACUGUGGUAAUUCUAGAGCUAAUACAUGCAUCCAAGCCCGACUUUGCAGAAGGGUUGUGUUUAUUAGAUCCAGAACCAACCCAGGCUCCGCCUGGUCAUGUGGUGAUUCAUGAUAACUUGACGAAUCGUGCGGCCUUGCCGACGAUGCGUCAUUCAAGUUUCUGACCUAUCAGCUUCCGACGGUAGGGUAUUGGCCUACCGU